This 465-nucleotide ribosomal RNA is filed under the name uncultured bacterium. Its description in RNAcentral is "partial 16S ribosomal RNA". It matches the Rfam family "Bacterial small subunit ribosomal RNA", at positions 28 to 507 of the family's 1533-position model. The record is from RNAcentral.
GACGAACGCUGGCGGCGUGCUUAACACAUGCAAGUCGAACGGAAAGGCCCCUUUGGGGGUACUCGAGUGGCGAACGGGAGAGUAACACGUACGUAACCUGCCCUUGACUUCGGGAUAACUUCAGGAAACUGGGGCUAAUACCGGAUAGGAAUCCUUGCUGCAUGGUGGGGGUUGGAAAGCUUCGGCGGUUUUGGAUUGACUCGCGGCUUAUCAGCUUGUUGGUGGGGUAGUGGCUUACCAAGGCGUUGACGGGUAGCCGGCCUGAGAGGGGGACCGGCCACAUUGGGACUGAGAGACGGCCCAGACGCCUACGGGAGGCAGCAGUGGGGAAUAUUGCACAAUGGGCGGAAGCCAGAUGCAGCAACGCCGCGUGCGGGAUGACGGCCUUCGGGUUGUAAACCGCUUUCAGCAGGGGCGAAGCUUGUGGUGACGGUACCUGCAGAAGAAGCACCGGCUAACUACGUG